GGGCGAAUGGCUAUAUAAGCAGGCAAAUCACCAGAGGAAAUCAGAUCUCACUCCUUCAGCGACGACUUCACUUCGCUGGAUCCCGACUGAACUCUCGCCAUCGAAGAGGCAUCGCAGCGGAUCAGCUGAGACCGCCUGCAGUGCCGGCGCUCUCGAAGACAGCCGCUCUUCAGCGCCGAUUUCGGGCCACCCGCUUCUGCUUCCGGCCACUUCUCAGCGAUAUCCUGCCGCUAUCCGGCGAUCACAAAAGAGCAUUUCCAGCGGUUUUCACCUCUCUCAAAGAGCGAUUUCUAACGCCGUUGUGAAAUGGAGUGGCACAUGCAGAGCCCCUCUGCAUGAGGAUGACGGCCAUGCUGAGUGCGUCUUCUGCCUGGGUAAAGCCCACGCUGAGGCGGCGCUCACUGAGACCUCAUGCUGCUUUUGUGAGAGCAUGUGAUCCCGCCCCUCGUGCCCCCCUGUCUUCUUCCUCCUGCGAUCCGGCCAGGAAAAGAUGGCGGGGAAGAGGGGCUCAGCGCCCGGAUUUGGGUGAGCUCACGCCGGCUCAGCACCCACGUGCCUCACCCUCUCCAAUGAGAGAGCCGUCCCCUGUCCUUUUCUCACGCCCAGAGCAGCGUCCCUCGGCUGAAGCAAGCGACCUAGUCUCUUUCGGCGGAUUGGAAGACGAGCCGCUUGAUGACUCCAUGUCACUCGCGGCUUCUGAAACGGAGGAUUGGGCCGGCGAUUCUGACCCCGCCCACCUACCAUCACUGGAGCCCAUCGACGCCAGAGCUGGGAUGGAUGCCGAGCUUCUCCGCAUCCUCUCCAAGGCUGUCGAGGAGCUUAAUCUGGAGUGGGCUCCCCCUGAAGAGCCGACGCGCAGCAGCCUGGACGAGUGGUACCUGCCAGGACACCGCCAGGCCCCCCGCCAGCGCACUGCCCCGUUCUUCCCUGAGGUUCAUGAUGAGCUGACCAAGUCGUGGCGCGCCUCCUACUCGGCCCGCCUACGCACUUCCUCCUCUGCAGCUCUCAGCUCAGUAGACGGUUCUCAGGAGAAGGGCUAUGAGCAAUUGCCACCCCUGGAUGAGGCUGUGGCUGCUCACCUCUGCCCCCCCUCGGCUGUGGGGUGGAAAAGCAAGAGAGCCCUUCCUUCCAAGCCCUGCAGGACAACCUCUGCCAUGGCCGACAGAGCCUACACUUCUGUGGGCCAAGCCACUUCAGCACUACACACCAUGGCCAUAUUGCAAGUGUUCCAGGCAAAGCUUCUCCGUUCCCUGGAUGAGUCUAGCCCUGAUGAACCUGCUUU
Molecule: long non-coding RNA, 1282 nt
Organism: Cyprinus carpio (common carp)
Lineage: Eukaryota; Metazoa; Chordata; Actinopteri; Cypriniformes; Cyprinidae
Source: Ensembl